GACGAACGCUGGCGGCGUGCUUAACACAUGCAAGUCGAGCGGAAAGGCCACUUCGGUGGUACUCGAGCGGCGAACGGGUGAGUAACACGUGAGUAAUCUGCCCCUGGCUUUGGGAUAGCCACCGGAAACGGUGAUUAAUACCGGAUACGACCACUUCUCGCAUGGGAUGGUGGUGGAAAGUUUUUUCGGCCAGGGAUGUGCUCGCGGCCUAUCAGCUUGAUGGUGAGGUAAUGGCUCACCAUGGCUUCGACGGGUAGCCGGCCUGGGAGGGUGACCGGUCACACGGGGACUGAGACACGGCACAGACUCGUACGGGAGGCAGCAGUGGGGAAUAUUGGACAAUGGGCGGAAGCCUGAUCCAGCAACGCCGCGUGAGGGAUGACGGCCUUCGGGUUGUAAACCUCUUUCAGUAGGGACGAAGCGCAAGUGACGGUACCUGCAGAAGAAGCACCGGCCAACUACGUGCCAGCCGCCGCCGUAA
This 481-nucleotide ribosomal RNA is filed under the name uncultured bacterium. RNAcentral describes it as "partial 16S ribosomal RNA". It matches the Rfam family "Bacterial small subunit ribosomal RNA", at positions 28 to 523 of the family's 1533-position model. The record is from RNAcentral.